This 2373-nucleotide long non-coding RNA is filed under the name Homo sapiens (human). RNAcentral's name for it is "HSALNT0288568". Lineage: Eukaryota; Metazoa; Chordata; Mammalia; Primates; Hominidae. The record is from RNAcentral.
CAUCAACAUGGCACAUGUAUACAUACGUAACAAACUUUCACGUUAUGAACAUGUACUCUAGAACUUAAAGUAUAAUAAAAAAUAAAAGUAAGUAAAUUAAUUAAUUAAUUAAUUAAUUAAAAUAAUUUCUCUCUCUCUCUGGUGAUUUUCCAACUUCUAUUGUAAGAAAAAUUUCUAGUACAAAUUUCGGGACUCUGUUUCUUUCUUUAGGUACCCAGUCUCAACAAACAGAAAUACAUAAUUUUUGCCCAAAGCCCCACUGGGGGUUGGGGGAUUAUCUGGAAUUUUAGGAUCCCUCUUCAGACUAGCUGGCCUGAAAAGUCUAUUCCUGAAGCUAGGAUAUGGGUAGCCUCAGAAUUUUUUUCCUUCCUAUUCAUAUGAUGAGAAGUUAGGACAAAAGAUAUCAUUCUUCCAACCCUAGAGAUCUCUUCCCUCCUUCAGGGUAUGGCCAUCCACUCCGUUUUUGAGGCAUAACAUCUUUAUAGGACGGGAUAAGGUCCCAAUACUGACAGAAGAAAAUGCUUAGAACUCUAACAGGUUUUUAAGAAUGCUUCAGUAAGGGCCACUAAACCUGAUUUUUCUUGGUCCUCUUUGUGUUCUAAGAGAAAAAGCAAAAGUGCAGGUUUUUGAAUAUGUGUCAGUAAGAGCCACUAAAUCUGACCUUGCUCGGUCCUCUUUGUGUUCUAGGAGGAAAACUAGUGUUUCUGCUGCUGUUACGGUGAGCACAACUAUACCGAUCGGCAGGAUGCAGGAACCAUUGCGGGUUCUUGGGCAAGAGGGGGAUCUGCUGCUGCAUCGUUAAGGUGGCAGGAGUGAAGUCUUGGAUUCACCACACCCCACUUAAACUUUGGACACCUGCUAAGGAACCUGCUGGACAAACAGCUCAGGAAUCCAAGGAUCAGCAAGAGUAGGCUAGAUACACCUGUGAGCCAUUGGAGGACUUACAUCUUCUUUUCUGGAAGGAAACAUCCCAGACUAAGAAGACUCUUACAGCUGAUCCUGAGGAAAAAUCCCUUCCUACUUAAAAAGAUGAAGGCCAUCAAGCUACAGAUGCUCUUACAAAUGGAACCUCAAAUGAACUCAACUAACAACUUCUAUUGAGGACCCCUGGACAGAGCCACUGGCCCUUUGACUGGCCUAAAGAGUUCCCCUCUGAAGGACACUAAAACUCCAGGACCCCUUCUUCACCCCUAUCCAACAGGAAGUAGAUAGAGCCAUCAUCACCCAAUUCCCAACAGCAUUUGGUGUGUCCUGUUUAGAGGGGGUAUUGAGAGGUGAAGUCAGCUGGACUUCUGGGUUGGGUGGUGACUUGGAGAAAUUUUCUGUCUUACAAGAGGUUUGCAAAAUGCACUAAUUAUCACCCUGUAGCUAGGAAUGCAAAAUCCACCAAUCAGUGCUCUGUAGCUAGCUAGAGAUUUGUAAAAUGCACCAAUCAGUGCUCUGUAGCUAGCUAGAGGUUUAUAAAAUAGACCAAUGAGCAGCCUGUUAAAUGGACCAAUCAGCAGGACAUGGUUGGGGACAAAUAAGGGAAUAAAGGCUGGCUACCCCACUCAGCAGCGGCAACCCACUCAGGCCCCCUUCCUUGCUAUGGAAACUUUGUUCUUUUGCUCUUCAGAAUAAAACUUGCUGCUGCUCACCCUUUGGUUCUAUGUUAUCUUUAAGAGCUGUUACACUCACCAUGAAGUUCUGCUACUCCAUUCUUGAAGUCAACAAGACCACAAACCCACCAGAAGGAAUGAACUCCAGACACAAAGAGGAGGAGAAAAGGAAUAAAAAAUUAGAAAGAGAAGGAGAAGGAGGAGAAAGAAAAGAAAAAAACCCAAGCAGAAGGAGGAGGAAGAGAAGGAGAAAAAGAAUGAAAACAUGGAGGUAGGGGGAAUAAGAGGAGGAGGGAAGAAGGAGGAGCUAAAGAAGAAAGGAAGAGAAGCAAGGAAUGAUAGUCACAUACUGAGAACCCUUUUGCAUUAUCUACACAGAUUUCAUGUUCGGUUACUUGAUGAAUUCAAGGCUCUAAGGUAGCAAAAAUAUAAGUCAACAAUAUAAAGUGUACUCCUGGACUCAUCUGAGUUUCACAGGCUGUUGUAGGUUAGAGUCUUCUCUGCAGGGCAUGAGGUUUUAUAUAUUUCCUCUUUUUUUUUUUUUUUUUUUUUUUUUUAAAGAGAAGGAGGAAGAGUAGGAGGAAGAAAAGUAGGGAGGUCUUGCUGGCUGAGAGUUGUCUGACAUGAUCCGGAAGUCACUGCUUCACCAUGGGGAGAUUGUUCUGGGUCAUUGUUUACCUGAUGCAAUCUUUGAUGGCUGUCUAUGGAGGUACCUUCAAGUUCUGGUAAAAUGACCCAACGGUCAGGUCAGGAGGACUCUGGACUGAGACUUGUA